Non-coding RNA from Heterocephalus glaber (naked mole-rat), 1980 nucleotides. The record is from RefSeq and is a predicted model, not a curated record. NCBI's taxonomy places the organism in Eukaryota, Metazoa, Chordata, Mammalia, Rodentia, Bathyergidae.
UGGUAGUAGGAAGAAGUGCAGUCCAGGAAGCUCCCUCUUAGGCUAAUAGGCACAGGGACUGUUGCCUGAGCUAGAGUCACACCCCUGUGUCCUGGGGCAAUAGGGAUCUGGGUGAGGUGAGGGAUAGAGAGGAAGCCAUGUGGCAAGGUCACAGAACAUUCAGAGGGUAGAGGGCAAAGGGCAGAGGUCAGAGCCGUAGAUGGGUCCAGAUGGUGUGGGGCUGCAUAGGCUCAGAACUCGAGUUUAGACUUUAACUACAGUAUGAAGUCAUUGGAGGGUUUUAAACAGAAGGACAUGCCUGAUUUGCAUAUUAAAAAGAUCACCCAGCUGCUGUGUAAAGAAUGCCUUUUAAAGGCACAAAAAUAGAAAUAGGAAGGCCAGUUAGGAGGCAUUGCCGUCAUCUUGGCAAGAGGCUGAAAGAAGUCUCCAAGAAGAUGGUACCUGGUUUAACCCUAGGUCUUCUGACCCGACCUGGGCUCUUUCCACUCGCCUGUCUCCAUCUGCCAGGGCUUUCCAAGUCAGAAGCAGUGGGUGGAGAACCCAAAGCAGCUAUUGCCUCUGGACAGCAAAGAUAUCUUUUGAUAUUCAAUGAAUUGGAGCAAGAAUUGUGCUGUUAUAAUCAAUUAACUAUGAAGUUUUAGCCCAUUGGCUGGAACUGAGUGGCAUCUGCUGUUAUUGACUUUCGUUUGAGGCUGUCGGUGCACUUAAGCCCUCAGUGCAUGGAAGAGUCUGGCUGGCCAGCAGAAUAAAGGAGUGAUUGCCUGUCCACUUCAUCAGGUUUUAAAUGAUGCAAGAAAAAUAUUCACUACAGGAGAAUGCUGCUGAUUAUUAAUGAAUCUACUUUUUCAUUAAAGUGAGUCCAGCAGGACUUAUACUGGGAAAUACUUAGAAUUAACAGAGUUAUGUGUUUGAGAUAAAAAUAAAAAGACAGAGCCCUUGAAGAGAAGAAAAUGCCUAUGAAUAAAACACCUGGGAAAAGUGUGGUUUUGUUGUGAGUCCCCUGGAGGCCCAUGGGCUGCUGCCUCACCAGCUCUGGCAACAAGUACGGGAUGAUUUCAGUGAUAUAACAAAGGAGAACAGGCUUCUCCUCUGUGGAAAAAUAUGACGUGUGUGUCCACAUGAUAAAAAAAAUCUGUGUUAGUUUGAACUUCUUCCAUUGCUUCUUAAAUAGCUUUAUUGAGAUAUAAUCACAGACCAUAAAAUCUACAAUUUAAAGUGUACAACUCAUUGGUUGUUGGUGUAUUCACAGUUGUGCAGCUGCCUGCACAGUUUGAAUUUAAAUGGUUGUCAUCACCCCAGAAAGAAACUCCACCCUUUAGCAUCACUCUCCCACAUCUGUAUCCCCAGCCCCAGGGAACCACCAUUUGGUUCUCUGCGUUUGCCUGUUUCUGGACAUGGCAUGUAAUAGGAGUAAAGUGUUCUUUGUGUCUGGGUUCUUCCUCUCAGUGUAAUGUCACUGAAGUUCAUCCACGCAACAGUAUUUCAUUCCUUUCUAUUGAGAGAAGCAGUACUCCACUGUAGGGAUGUAUCACAUCUUUACCCUUUUAUCAGUUGAUGCACAUUUGAUUUUCAUUUUUUGUUUAUUGCGAAUAAUACUGCUAUGAACAUUUGGGCCCACAUGUUAUGUGGGACAAUGUUUUUAUUUCUCUUACAUGUGUACUCAAGAGUAGAGAUCUAGGCCACAUGUGAUUUCUUGUGUAACACUGUGAAGACUGCCAAAAUGUUUUCCAAAGUAACUGCACCAUUUUACAUUUUCACCAGCAAUGCAUGAGAGUUCUAGUUUGUCCAAGUCUUUGUCAAUACUUGUUAUUGUCUGUUUCUUUUUUAUUAUAGUCACCCCAGUGGGCAUGAAGUUGUGCUCCCUUGAUAAUUAGUGAUGUAGAACAUCUUUUCCAAUGCUUUUUGGCCAUUCAUUUAUCUUCUUUGGAUACUUGUCUACUCAAAUCCUUUGCCCUUUUUUUUUUGUUACCAGGGAUCGAA